UGCUGACGAGCGGCGGACGGGUGAGUAAUGCUUAGGAAUCUGCCUGGUAGUGGGGGAUAGCCCGGGGAAACCCGGAUUAAUACCGCGUACGCCCUUCGGGGGAAAGCAGGGGAUCUUCGGACCUUGCGCUAUCAGAUGAGCCUAAGCCGGAUUAGCUAGUUGGUGGGGUAAAGGCCCACCAAGGCGACGAUCCGUAGCUGGUCUGAGAGGAUGAUCAGCCACAUCGGGACUGAGACACGGCCCGAACUCCUACGGGAGGCAGCAGUGGGGAAUAUUGGACAAUG
This 284-nucleotide ribosomal RNA is filed under the name Marinobacter guineae. RNAcentral describes it as "partial 16S ribosomal RNA". It matches the Rfam family "Bacterial small subunit ribosomal RNA", at positions 86 to 373 of the family's 1533-position model. The record is from RNAcentral. Lineage: Bacteria; Pseudomonadati; Pseudomonadota; Gammaproteobacteria; Pseudomonadales; Marinobacteraceae.